Molecule: ribosomal RNA, 311 nt
Filed under: uncultured bacterium
Lineage: Bacteria
Description: bacterial SSU rRNA
Rfam family: Bacterial small subunit ribosomal RNA
Source: RNAcentral
GAAUAAGCACCGGCUAACUACGUGCCAGCAGCCGCGGUAAUACGUAGGGUGCGAGCGUUAAUCGGAAUUACUGGGCGUAAAGCGUGCGCAGGCGGUUUGUUAAGACAGAGGUGAAAUACCCCGGGCUCAACCUGGGAACUGCCUUUGUGACUGCAAGGCUAGAGUACGGCAGAGGGGAGUGGAAUUCCGCGUGUAGCAGUGAAAUGCGUAGAUAUGCGGAGGAACACCGAUGGCGAAGGCAAUCCCCUGGGCCUGUACUGACGCUCAUGCACGAAAGCGUGGGGAGCAAACAGGAUUAGAUACCCUGGUAG